Molecule: ribosomal RNA, 374 nt
Filed under: Pestalotiopsis microspora
Lineage: Eukaryota; Fungi; Ascomycota; Sordariomycetes; Amphisphaeriales; Sporocadaceae
Description: partial large subunit ribosomal RNA
Rfam family: Eukaryotic large subunit ribosomal RNA
Source: RNAcentral
CGGUUGAAUGCCUAGCCUCUGUAAAUCUCCUUCGACGAGUCGAGUAGUUUGGGAAUGCUGCUCUAAAUGGGAGGUAAAUUUCUUCUAAAGCUAAAUAUUGGCCAGAGACCGAUAGCGCACAAGUAGAGUGAUCGAAAGAUGAAAAGCACUUUGAAAAGAGGGUUAAAUAGCACGUGAAAUUGUUGAAAGGGAAGGAUUUGUGACCAGACUUUUUCUGGGCGGAUCAUCCGGGGUUCUCUCCGGUGCACUUCGCCCAGUAAAGGCCAGCAUCGGUUUUCGGCGCGGGAUAAAAGCGGUAGGAAUGUGGCUCUCUACGGGGAGUGUUAUAGCCUAUCGUAUAAUACCGCGCUGAGGACCGAGGUUCGCGGAUGCUG